RNAcentral lists this unclassified non-coding RNA (576 nucleotides) under Hevea brasiliensis (rubber tree). Lineage: Eukaryota; Viridiplantae; Streptophyta; Magnoliopsida; Malpighiales; Euphorbiaceae. The record is from RNAcentral.
AGAGAAACCUGAAUUCACGAACAGAACGUUAAUAUCACCACAAUAAUAAUUGUCUAGUUUUUGCUAAGAGCAAUUACAACUUAGAACUGAAUAGCCCUAUAAAAAGAGCUCAAACUACCAAAAACCUAAUCUUUAACUUCAUUUAGCUCAGAAACAUCAUAACAGUGCAAAUAUUUCAGGACAACAUCCACAUGUUUGACAGCAAUGUUCUUAUAAAUGAGUUUGUGCCUGAAACAAUUCGAUCAAAUUUUCUUGCUUCCCCGGGGACCAACACCCAAGUAGUUUGUCAUGAGACCCAUAAUACCAAACAUCAUGGCCAUUGAGAUCUGCUUAAGAUCAUUUUCCAUAUUCCUCAUGUUAGCAAGGGAUUGAGCACUGAAUAUAAUAGCAAGCCACGAGCAAAUCUUGUAUCUAAACAUGGCACCAAAGACGCCGCAGAUGACGGCUAUGAAGCCGGAGUAAUCUAUAGGAAGAUCUUGUGGAGCGACCGGCGAAGGCUUGUACGGCUUUGCCGUCGACGGUUGCCGUGGAUCGUUCGCUGGUGACGACAUGGCUGCUGUAGUUUCUGCUCCGAAA